Molecule: ribosomal RNA, 600 nt
Filed under: Psychrobacter sp. India-BSP-5
Lineage: Bacteria; Pseudomonadati; Pseudomonadota; Gammaproteobacteria; Moraxellales; Moraxellaceae
Description: bacterial SSU rRNA
Rfam family: Bacterial small subunit ribosomal RNA
Source: RNAcentral
UGCUACCAGGCGUCGAGCGGCGGACGGGUGAGUAAUACUUAGGAAUCUACCUAGUAGUGGGGGAUAGCACGGGGAAACUCGUAUUAAUACCGCAUACGACCUACGGGAGAAAGGGGGCAGUUUACUGCUCUCGCUAUUAGAUGAGCCUAAGUCGGAUUAGCUAGAUGGUGGGGUAAAGGCCUACCAUGGCGACGAUCUGUAGCUGGUCUGAGAGGAUGAUCAGCCACACCGGGACUGAGACACGGCCCGGACUCCUACGGGAGGCAGCAGUGGGGAAUAUUGGACAAUGGGGGAAACCCUGAUCCAGCCAUGCCGCGUGUGUGAAGAAGGCCUUUUGGUUGUAAAGCACUUUAAGCAGUGAAGAAGACUCCUUGGUUAAUACCCGCGGACGAUGACAUUAGCUGCAGAAUAAGCACCGGCUAACUCUGUGCCAGCAGCCGCGGUAAUACAGAGGGUGCAAGCGUUAAUCGGAAUUACUGGGCGUAAAGCGAGCGUAGGUGGCUUGAUAAGUCAGAUGUGAAAUCCCCGGGCUUAACCUGGGAACUGCAUCUGAAACUGUUAGGCUAGAGUAGGUGAGAGGGAAGUAGAAUUUCAGGUGUA